AUGAAGCACAAAUUUGGGUGGGUGUUUAACAAGCCUGUUGAUCCUGUUGCACUUGGGUUGCAUGACUAUUUUGCCAUUAUUAAGCACCCGAUGGAUCUUGGCACUAUAAAGGGGCAGCUUACUCGUGGGCAUUACAGGGACCCAAAGGAGUUUGCUAAUGAUGUACGGCUAACAUUCCAUAAUGCCAUGACGUAUAAUCCCAAAGGGCAGGAUGUGCAUUUCAUGGCUGAGCAAUUGUUAGGAAUUUUUGAAGCUCAGUGGCCUGAGAUUGAGGCUGAGGUUGACUACCUUGCGUCAUGCCCACCUUUGCCGAAGAAGUUUCCACCUCCCCCGAUAGACUUGCGCUUACUAGAGAGGUCAGAUUCCUUAAAGCACCAUAUGGUGCUGGACUCCAAGUCAAGGCCGAUAAGUCAUACUCCUAUUAGUGUCCGCACUCCAUCAUUGAAGAAGCCGAAGGCAAAGGAUCUGGAUAAAAGAGAUAUGACGAUAGAUGAGAAGCGUAAACUUAGCAAUAACCUUCAGAACUUGCCUCCUGAAAAGCUUGAUAUUGUUGUGCAGAUCAUUAAGAACAAGAAUCUUUCAGUUAGGCAGCAUGAAGAUGAGAUUGAGGUUGAGAUAGAUAGCAUGGAUGCGGAGACACUUUGGGAACUUGAUAGAUUUGUUGCUAACUUCAAGAAGAACCUGAGCAAGCAAAAGAGGAAGGCUGAGCGUGCAAUGCUUGCAAGGCAAGAUGUAGAGUUGCGUGCUCUGCAUGCUGCACAACAAACAAGUCAACAACCUAAUAUUGGUGAAAAAUCUCCAAAGCUAAAUUUGAUGGUGGGCGAGCAAUUAGCACCUUCUGUGCCAGACCAAAAUAAUAAUAAUGGACCGAGUGCCAGUAGAUCUAGCAGCUCAAGCAGCACCAGCAGUGAUUCAGAUUCCUCUUCUAGUGGUUCAGGACUCCGUCUAAUAGACAAUAACUGUCUAAUUGUAUUUGGCAUGAGAAUGCCUUAG
RNAcentral lists this ribosomal RNA (993 nucleotides) under Triticum aestivum (bread wheat). RNAcentral describes it as "partial small subunit ribosomal RNA". Lineage: Eukaryota; Viridiplantae; Streptophyta; Magnoliopsida; Poales; Poaceae. The record is from RNAcentral.